UGGGGAAUAUUGGACAAUGGGCGAAAGCCUGAUCCAGCCAUGCCGCGUGUGUGAAGAAGGUCUUCGGAUUGUAAAGCACUUUAAGUUGGGAGGAAGGGCAGUAAGCGAAUACCUUGCUGUUUUGACGUUACCGACAGAAUAAGCACCUGCUAACUCUGUGCCCGCAGCCGCGGUAAUACAGAGGGUGCAAGCGUUAAUCGGAAUUACUGGGCGUAAAGCGCGCGUAGGUGGUUCGUUAAGUUGAAUGUGAAAGCCCCGGGCUCAACCUGGGAACUGCAUCCAAAACUGGCGAGCUGGAGUAGGGCAGAGGGUGGUGGAAUUUCCUGUGUAGCGGUGAAAUGCGUAGAUAUAGGAAGGAACACCAGUGGCGAAGGCGACCACCUGGGCUCAUACUGACACUGAGGUGCGAAAGCGUGGGGAGCAAACAGG
This 429-nucleotide ribosomal RNA is filed under the name Pseudomonadota bacterium. RNAcentral describes it as "Proteobacteria bacterium partial 16S ribosomal RNA". It matches the Rfam family "Bacterial small subunit ribosomal RNA", at positions 355 to 776 of the family's 1533-position model. Lineage: Bacteria; Pseudomonadati; Pseudomonadota. The record is from RNAcentral.